GCACAAGCGGUGGAGCAUGUGGUUUAAUUCGAUGCAACGCGCAGAACCUUACCUGGCCUUGACAUGUCCGGAAUCCUGCAGAGAUGCGGGAGUGCCUUCGGGAAUCGGAACACGGGUGCUGCAUGGCUGUCGUUAGCUCGUGUCGUGAGAUGUUGGGUUAAGUCCCGCAACGAGCGCAACCCUUGUCCCUAGUUGCCAGCACGUAAAGGUGGGAACUCUAGGGAGACUGCCGGUGAUAAACCGGAGGAAGGUGGGGAUGACGCCAAGUCCUCAUGGCCUUUAUGUCCAGGGCUACACACGUGCUACAAUGGCGCGUACAGAGGGAAGCCAAGCCGCGAGGUGGAGCAGACCCCAGAAAGCGCGUCGUAGUUCGGAUUGCAGUCUGCAACUCGACUGCAUGAAGUCGGAAUCGCUAGUAAUCGCGGAUCAGAAUGUCGCGGUGAAUACGUUCCCGGGC
Molecule: ribosomal RNA, 457 nt
Filed under: uncultured bacterium
Lineage: Bacteria
Description: bacterial SSU rRNA
Rfam family: Bacterial small subunit ribosomal RNA
Source: RNAcentral